CCCAGUUGCGACUUGUCCAUACCUCAGUGAAAAUGUCUUCCAGUACAGUAUUUCAUAUCACUUUCGUGUUCUUGCUUAUCAUCGAGAUUUUCACACCUGCGAAUUCCAAAAUGCAACACAUAUUCGACUACGGUCCAUCUGAAGGUAUUACACCCUACCCUGCUAACGACAUAUCGAAGAUUAAUCAUGAUUCCUUGAAUCGGGUUUUCAAACCCGACAGCAAGCACGAAGAGAGAAGCAAUGUAGCACGAAAUAUUCAUAACGGCGAAAUUUCGAAGGUUGAUCGUAAAAAUUAUAUUGAAGUGACUUAUUAUGUUGGCCCGGAAGCGUUUAAAGCACCUAUUUCGAAUAUAAAUUCUGUAAAAAAUAAUGCGAAGAAUGGGCCCGAAUUUAUUGAUAUACCGAAAGAAGAAUUUACAACAAAAAUGCUACCUCUAGAUAUAAGUGCAGACAGAAUUAUAAAUACCCCUAAACGGAAAUGCCCAGAAGGCAAGAAAAUGGACCUCUUUGGCACGUGUAAGGCAGUGUGGGAAAACUGACAAUAAUCAGGAGAGUCUGGUGCUUCCAAGGAUCGGUUGAUGGCAGGUCAAGAGUAAGGAUAUCCAGUAGAAUUGAGGUCACUAAUGGACAAAUAAUGUACAAAUUUUCUUUGUUUGAAAUCUCACUUAAUAUACUAUACUCUAUUUAAACAUGUAUGCACUUAUGACACAAUAAAUGAGAAUGAAAAAUA
Cryptotermes secundus is the source of this 730-nucleotide long non-coding RNA. RefSeq lists it as uncharacterized. NCBI's taxonomy places the organism in Eukaryota, Metazoa, Arthropoda, Insecta, Blattodea, Kalotermitidae. The record is from RefSeq and is a predicted model, not a curated record. The transcript has 2 exons.